This is a long non-coding RNA of Dreissena polymorpha, 2644 nucleotides long. RefSeq lists it as uncharacterized. Lineage: Eukaryota; Metazoa; Mollusca; Bivalvia; Myida; Dreissenidae. The transcript has 3 exons. The record is from RefSeq and is a predicted model, not a curated record.
CUUCAUGUACGCCCCGUUUCAUUAAAAGCUUUGAACGACACGAAGCAUGUCAAACAACGAUUAAGGUGUUAUAAUAAACACCUGUUUGUGAAUUAUGAGGAAUACUAUAUCAUACGAACGUACUUAAAAACGGUAAAAUUUAAAUGAAAGUUCAAGUUUCAGCCAUCGAAAAUUUGCGGAUUCGUUUAAGCAUAUGUGCAGCAAUUAAAAUCCAUACAGAUGGCGGAAGCAGCCGAAGACGGGCGCUCGUCCGACAUACCUGGAGCCCAAUGGUACUGCCGACAUCACGAGAAUAACACUCCGUUGCAAUAUGAAGAGGAGUCCAAAGAAAUAUGUAUCGUUAUGUCGUGGCUAGGACAUGAACCGUCCUGCAGACAGAAACGCCGGGACUGUUACAGCGAGUAUGCACGAUUGUUGAGUGCGUACUUGGAAUAAAUUGGAUGUUGCACAACCAUCAUUGCUGGAAGCAAAUCAGAAGGCCUCACUUGCUACCUGGAGAAUGACAUAGAUAUGAUAUCUGUCCUUUCGAAUAUAGUCUGCCUUGAGGAUUACCGCCAUAUAUGGGAAAUUCCUGACGAUACAGCGGUGUUUAUGAUGAAUACAACAUAUACCUACGCUGGGCAUUGUAGGCUAUUGCUAUUGCGACAAAGGAGAAAUUGUCCCAUAAGUAUGAAAUUUAUUGCACCGGCAUUAUGUUAUGAUGGACUGGGAAAUACUUUAUUGAGUAGUGACUUAUUUGCUGAGUUUGACCCUGAAAUAAAGCGUUCAGGGCCACCCACUCCUUUCAUAUUUGGGCCUAUUCGCUUGGAUAGAGUAAGCGCUCUUCGUUGCCACAGUACCGUGCUAUUGAAACAAUGGGCAGAAAGGCCUCGCCAUUGGCCGCCGCCUGACGUGGUUAAAAAAGUGAUUUACUUGGGAGCAUGUUUAACCCCUGCUGGAUUUAAGGACAGUCCUUACAAACACGUAGAAUGGAGAAUUUGUUUUAACUCUGGGGAAACGGAAAUUGUAAACAGCCUAACAGACACGCAGCUCAAAGUUUACGUUAUGUUGAAAAUGAUCGUAAAGGAUGAACUCCGACCGUAACAUAAAGAGAUUACGUCGUACACGCUAAAAAACAUCAUAUUGUGGCAAUCGGAGAGCUAUCAGCAAACGUUGUUUAAUGAAAGAAGUUUAUUGUAUUGGCUAUGCAAAGGAUUGGGUAAACUUAAAACUGCUAUAGCCACAAAACAUCUGCCAUACUACAUGAUACCUGCUAGAAAUCUUAUGGAAGGCUGUGGAUUAAAACACCACCAGCAGAGCAAAUGGAUAGCAGUCAUUACAGAAAUGAUGAACGUAGGGCCGAGGGUUAUUCUAAGGCUGGGAGAGUUCCGAAAAGCCCUUAUCGCGUACCCAGAGCCUCUAAUGUGGUACAGCAAGAUGAGAACUGAGUUGGAGAUGUUGUCCCUGGAACUUAUGGUUAGAAAACGUUUGUUCUUCGUUGAAAACAUUUUAGGCUCGGCUUACAACAACGGGCAAGCGGAUAUAAUGAACACGUUGCAGACUUGUGUCAUGCGCUCUUUUUCUAUGUCCGAUAGUAUCAGUGACGAGUUGCUCGUUCGUGUUAGUUCGAUAAUACUAACAAUUGCUCUUAGUUUGAGUGAUUUUGAUUUGCGUUUGCUUGGGCAACUUAUGUGCAGACUGUUGGGUUGAAUACCGAUGUUUAACACAUAGAUCUAACUGGUACAGUAGCACAAUUUUAAAAUGUGUGAUAACAUACACAUGCAGCGUAUCAUGAUCAAAAGCUAAAAUAGUUUUGCCCCCCCCUCCCCGGGACCGCAUCUCAUAAUCCGUAUGUCCUUGGAUGGUUUGUUUAGGUUUAUACAUGUUUGGACAAAUUUCAUAUGAAAAUCUUGAACAACAAUGCACUUUUGUAGCAAUGGAUGUAUAUUGUUCAAGUCCAGGAGCGGCUUCAACGUGAAUAUAUUUAAUAAAAUUGAGAGAGUUAUCGCAACUACUGUUAUGUUUAACCUCGUACAAGAACGUAGUAGCGUGGGGAACUCUAUGGUUGCGAUCGUUUUCAAUCGAGAUACAAUCGAGACAUAGUUCGAAAUAUUCGCAUCGGUCGUAUGCAAUAGUAUUUGAAUUAUAGAUCAGAUGGGGUCAGAUCGCGGCACCUUUUAUUGCAAACUCGUGAACAGAUUCGGAUUAAUUUCGAGCGCAAAGCAGCUAUUAUCAGGAAUAGACCCGCGUCAUUUUGUCAGAAAUACAUCGAGCAGGUACGUGUCGGCAAUCGUAGCGCUCGUUUCAGAUCGCAUGACAAUCGGAAUAAAGCAUACAUAUAUUAGGAAUAUAAACACCACGUAUCAUCGUCAGAAUUAUAAGAAUAUUCGUUAAUAUCCCAAUCGUCACAUAAUCAUCAUCGAACUGAUUGGUAAGUAAGUAUGGCAUGCACCUGUCAUAAAAAUGACCUUCUUGUAUGUUCCUGUAUAUAUAAUUAUGUGUGUACUAUUGAACAAUUCCAUUUUUCAUAACUGUGUAUAGCCCAAUUGCAAAUGCUAUAUGAUGUAAAGACGUCUACCGCACACAAUUCUAAAUGCAUGGUUAUACAUACAUGUACUUGUAUCCUAUUGUGUAAAUACUAAAUAUAAACCAUAAUAAACUGAUA